Ictidomys tridecemlineatus (thirteen-lined ground squirrel) is the source of this 71-nucleotide non-coding RNA. The record is from Rfam. NCBI's taxonomy places the organism in Eukaryota, Metazoa, Chordata, Mammalia, Rodentia, Sciuridae.
GGGCAUAUAGCUAAGUGGUAGAGCUUGCCUAACAUGUUGCAAGGUCCUGAGUUCAACACUCAGUGUACUUU